This is a non-coding RNA of Misgurnus anguillicaudatus (oriental weatherfish), 1868 nucleotides long. Lineage: Eukaryota; Metazoa; Chordata; Actinopteri; Cypriniformes; Cobitidae. The record is from RefSeq and is a predicted model, not a curated record.
AAAUAUAGCAAGAUUUAGUGUGAUGUAGCAAUUAAGUGAGAAUGAGUUGAUAUAGGCUGUGUCCCAAUUCAAAGGCUGCGACCUUCUAAGGACGUAUUUAAAGACCGAUUGUGUCACAGCAGUGCGACUUGAGGCUAGUAAAGCCGUCCCAAUUCAAAGGAUGCUUAGAAUGAAGCCUAUAAUUGCGUUCUCAUUUCUCUGCGCUGUCAAGGAUAGAACGAAUGGAUCCUUAACAGCCGAGGAUAUCCCAAGAGUCAUUGCGCGUCUGCAACGGCUGCAUAUAAUGGGUGGAUAUUCUAAAAUAAACAAGUAAAACCUUUAUUAAAUAAAAAUGUGUUUAUCAGAAAAAAAUAUGUGUCACUGUUUUAGUAAGUUAUGUUUUGUGUUAAUAUUAUUCUUUUUAUGUUGCGUAUAUUUCUAAGGUUGAUUAAUUUAAUAUACUGUUAAAUAGUUUAAUUUACAUCAACCUGUCAUAUUUUCUAAAAUCAAUUAAUAUUUUUCUGAUUUCAUAUUUAUUUUAAUAAGUUAGAAACGUGUCCGCUGUGUCCUGCUGACAGGGGCGGUGGGCACGUGCAGCAGAUGAUGCCAAUUAUGUGUCCCUGAAGGUUCGACGUCUCAUUUCAGUUACGUUUGCGAACUUCUGAGGCUUCCACCUUGAAAGACUGAGUGCUCACCUUUUAAGGUCGCAUGUUUAUAAGGUUGCAGCCCUUGAAUUGGGACACAGCUAUAAUGUCACUGUUAGGUAUAUAAUCUGUAAAUUGAUCCGAAGUUCAUGUUAUGCACAGGGAUAUUUUAAAAAGCUUAAUGUACAAUAAUAAUUUUUAAAGUUGCUUUAAUAGAAGUACAUUGCAUUAUAAUUGUGUCUUAAGAUUUUUAUAUCUAAAAAUAUUCUGUGUAUUCAACUAUUUAUAUUUAGUUUACUCAGAUAUUGUUGUUUAUCGUAGUGACACCCUAAAAUGUUUGUUUGAGUUGUUGUAAUUAAAAACAACAUCUUGCACUAAUUAACAGAUCAAUACUAUUGUUUUUUCUGAAGAUUGUUUUUUGUAACAUUGUGUUUUAACUUCUUAAUAUCUUAUUUAACUCCUUGAUAUUUAUAUUUGUUUUCUUUUUGUAUGUGUCAUUGGAAAUUAAUGGAAUGGUGCAACAUAAGCCAUAAACAGGAUAGACGACAGCACGGUGUGCCUUGGGCAUUUCAUUGUACUUUGACGGACUGAAAAGAUGCCACGUGGAAAAGGUUUUCGGCGGUCCCAGGCAGCCAAGAGGCGAAUGGCUAAGCCAUAUUCACUCAGUCCUGCAGAUCAACUUGCUGAUGAAAAUUCCAUGGUUUCCAAUGGUUCCAAUGACUUUCCAAAAAGUUCCAAUGACUUUCCAAAAAGUUCCAAUGACUUUCCAAAAAGUUCCAAUGACUUUCCAAAAAGUUCCAAUGACUUUCCAAAAAGUUCCAAUGACUUUCCAAAAAGUUCCAAUGACCUUCCAAAAUGUUCCAAUGACCUUCCAAAAUGUUCCAAUGACCUUCCAAAAUGUUCCAAAGACAAUUCUGUUCAUGUAACUAACUUUGCUAGUUUUUCAGAUCAAGUUCUAAAAGGCUCCUUUCAUCAAGGUGAUGAACGAUUUGGGUACAACAUGAACCGGCAGUGUGGAGUCAACAGUCUGACAGCAGUGAUGAUGAGCAAACUGAAGAAUGUGCUGACAUGGACCACAGAUGACCUGAAUACUGUGUUGGUUAAAGGAGACGAAAUGUAUACAUGUAUGCGCUUACAGGGGAAAAUUAAUGAUUCAACAGGUCGUGGAUAUGUUUCCAUUGCAGAAUUGCCAAAAAUGCAUACACUGUACAGUACAAAGUUCAAAAUAAACUACAAUGAGUCAUA